RNAcentral lists this small RNA (531 nucleotides) under Histoplasma capsulatum var. duboisii H88. Its description in RNAcentral is "Histoplasma capsulatum H88 hypothetical RNA". Lineage: Eukaryota; Fungi; Ascomycota; Eurotiomycetes; Onygenales; Ajellomycetaceae. The record is from RNAcentral.
CAGGUACCGUUUCACCGGCCUUGCGUCCUACAUUUCCUUGGUUUCCAGCAGCAGGAACCACUGCCCCUCCACUGCCCUGGGGCCCCGGGCCUUGCUCUCCUGCGGAUGCGCUACCCAGGGCCCUAAAUGAGGCUAUAUAUACCUAUUUAGCCGGGUAAUAACAGAAUAAUAUAAGCCCAAAAGUCCCCGCAUUCUUACGAUACAUACCAGAAUGCUGAACUGCUUGCUCCCUUGUCAAUUUUCCAUCGACUACACAAAAAGCAACGGGAGAUUAGAACUAGACAGAGAUAUUUUUCUCUUCGUUUUCAGGACAAGGUCCACUCCACUUUCGUGAAAGUUGAAACAGAGCCUAUCUUUCUCGAUUUUGAUCCAUUCCACUCUUUUUCUUGCUUUGGAACAUUACAGAACUUUCGCUGGAAAUAUUUCUACUUGAACGCCGGUAGCCCCAGAGAGAUGUUCCGAAGGUGGUUUUCACGGGACGCUCUAGAUCCAUCUGCGCCUCACUAUUUCCAUUUGUUCUGGCUAUUAAAU